CGCACGCCCCGCUGCCCUGAGGGUGGUGAGGUGGCGGGACCGCGCUCAGCGGAGUGGAGCGUAUUACAUAAAUCAUGCUGCUGAUUUUUCCAAGCCUUCUGCUAGGGUUUGCUGCAUACUGUUCACCCGGAGAGAAUGGCCUGUUGGGAAUUCCUGACUACGUUGGGAGUACUUCAGAUGUAAUACAGACUGCAAAUGUUAGCUUGCAUCAGGAUGCCCAGAGGUGAGUGAGCAUUUCUCUGGCCAGAACAGAAAGAUCUAUGGCAUAUUCUUGUGGCUGGCCAGCAUAUGGAGGAGGACUCUCACUAAAGUUCUAGUUCUGAAAUAUGGAAGAGAAUCCAGAAGCACAUGCAGUUGACAAUAGCCAUUACAAAUAAUGGCACUGGUGAAGCAGCAAGAUCGUUCACACAGCUAUUGCAAGGUCAGAGAAUUACAGAAUGGGUAAUUGGAGGGGACUCCAGUGGGACAUCCAGCCUAACUCCCCUGCUCAAGCAGCAUCAUCAGCGUCCAUCCACAUGGCACAGGAUUGCAUUCAACUGGUUCUGGAAUAUCUCCAGUGAGGGAAGCUCUACAACCGCUCUGUUCUGGUGCUUGGUCACCCAAUGACCAUCCUCCUUGUAUUAAAAUAAAAUCAAAAAGAAUGAUGAAGUCUGAAGACUGCC
Molecule: long non-coding RNA, 662 nt
Organism: Oenanthe melanoleuca
Lineage: Eukaryota; Metazoa; Chordata; Aves; Passeriformes; Muscicapidae
Exons: 5
Source: RefSeq, a predicted model, not a curated record